UAAUUGCUCAGUAUUAUUAUAUUAUUUAUUCUAUGAUAAAUUUAUAACAUUAAAAAAAUUCGUGCCCUCAAUCGAGAUACACAUGUUCUCUCUCUAAGGAGUCUGAAACCACGCAUCCCUCUCUACUACCCCCAACAUAAAUCGCUCUUCAAACCGCUCCCAUCAAAUUUCAACGCUCUCUUGCUCUCAUCGAAAACUUAGAACAAAAUUGGGAAUCCCGCUUUCGAUCUCUCAAUCGAUUUCAUCAUCAAUCUGCUCCUUCAAUCCUCCCGCUGAUCUCUAGUCUCUCGUCGAUCAAUAUGUCUCUGAUCUAUGCAGAUUUAGUUCCAUGCCGCAUCAUCACAUCUAUUCUCUUAUUGAUCUCGUCUAUGCCUUGAUCAAUCCUACAACUAGAAAUGAUGCGGGUAAGACACUAUCUUUUGGAAAUGGAAGAUUAGAUGAUGGAAAGGCUUGAGAUGAGCUUGGUUUUGAGAUUGUCAGUUGCUCAGGAAGAAGAAUAAUCUAUGACCCUCUGUUGGAACCAUCAUUGGCUACUGAAAAAUGUGAAAUUAGAGUUUUUCAACUAGUUCACAAAGAAAGCUUUGAAACAAGGAUAUGAAGAAGAACUAAUAUUUAUGCUCGGCACAAGUCAUGAUUUUAUUUGUCAAAUGUAUAAAUUUUAAUUUUAAUGGGAAUAAAAUUGUUUUUUAUUUUUUAGUUUUUA
Vicia villosa (hairy vetch) is the source of this 703-nucleotide long non-coding RNA. RefSeq lists it as uncharacterized. The record is from RefSeq and is a predicted model, not a curated record. Lineage: Eukaryota; Viridiplantae; Streptophyta; Magnoliopsida; Fabales; Fabaceae. The transcript has 5 exons.